Small nucleolar RNA from Panicum virgatum (switchgrass), 107 nucleotides. The record is from RefSeq and is a predicted model, not a curated record. Lineage: Eukaryota; Viridiplantae; Streptophyta; Magnoliopsida; Poales; Poaceae.
AUGCCAUGGUGGGGGCAAGCUACAAUGUAUUCUUGGAAUCUCUCCCAAGCCUCCGAAAUGGCUUCAUUCGGCAGCAGCUGAAAUCCAGAGAUUUUGCUCUGGAGGGC